UACGUAGGGUGCGAGCGUUGUCCGGAAUUAUUGGGCGUAAAGAGCUUGUAGGCGGUUUGUCGCGUCUGCUGUGAAAAUCCGGGGCUCAACCCCGGACUUGCAGUGGGUACGGGCAGACUAGAGUGUGGUAGGGGAGACUGGAAUUCCUGGUGUAGCGGUGGAAUGCGCAGAUAUCAGGAGGAACACCGAUGGGCGAAGGCAGGUCUCUGGGCCACUACUGACGCUGAGAAGCGAAAGCAUGGGGAGCGAACAGG
RNAcentral lists this ribosomal RNA (254 nucleotides) under uncultured bacterium. RNAcentral describes it as "partial 16S ribosomal RNA". It matches the Rfam family "Bacterial small subunit ribosomal RNA", at positions 524 to 776 of the family's 1533-position model. The record is from RNAcentral.